This is a long non-coding RNA of Protopterus annectens (West African lungfish), 640 nucleotides long. RefSeq lists it as uncharacterized. The transcript has 2 exons. The record is from RefSeq and is a predicted model, not a curated record. Lineage: Eukaryota; Metazoa; Chordata; Ceratodontiformes; Protopteridae.
AUAAAGAGAGAGGCACUAUGGGUAAGCUUAGCUUGAGAGUUUUUGGCUGGUGCGAUCUUGUUAUAACGACCAAGUCAGUUCUGAGGACGGAACCGUUACCCAUUCAUCAUGAAUGAAUGAAGAUCAACACAGAUGGCACGUUAUGCAUUCUGGUUGGUCUGGUGGUUCCGGAAGUGAAAGGAAGGUUCAAAGGUCAAUUUUAACUUCUUCCAAGAUGUUGCAGCCAUUCCCAUCCGAAGAUGAAGCUUUGUGUAGAAAUUGCAAGUUCGAGACGGUUUCCAAAAGUUUCCAGUUUAAGAUCCAAGGAAUGAAGGCAGGAAUACUGCAGUAAAUGUGCAGCUUUAGGCGAAAAAGAUAUGUUAUAAUGUCCAUGUUUAUCACAAACAGCUUUUUCUGAUGUAAAACAGCAAAGUUAGUGGUAAAAGGUUCCAGGCAGUCAAAAACAACCAUAUUAUGCAAGUUUCACUUUAAAACAGACCAUAUAGAAUACCCACUAUAGCAGAUAUCACCAAGUUAAACAGACAGUAUUUAAUAAAAUAAUCAAAUCAAGUGUAACAAAAGGUUAUAGAGCUUCUCACAAAUGCAAAGUAGAAUAUGCUGAGGUACAAUUUUAUGAAUAAGAUAUUGUACUUAUACAAGA